This 1064-nucleotide long non-coding RNA is filed under the name Ornithorhynchus anatinus (platypus). Its description in RNAcentral is "lncRNA (ENSOANG00000040265.1)". The record is from RNAcentral. Lineage: Eukaryota; Metazoa; Chordata; Mammalia; Monotremata; Ornithorhynchidae.
UCUUCUUCUCCCUUCCCUUUCCUUCCCUCUCCCCGGCCGCCUGUCUGUGUGUCCCCCCACGGGUUCCCCCUGGGCUUUCAUUCAAUCGUGUUUAUUGAGCGCUUACUGUGUGAGGAGCACUGUACUAGGCACUUGGAAAGUACAAUACGGCAAUGAAGACAGACAAUCCCUGCCCACAAAGGGCUCACGGUUCAGGAGCUGGGAGGUGGAGACAGACAUCAAUACAGAUAAACAGGCAACAGUAUAAAGAAAUAGAAUUAUAGAGAUAGCCAUAAGUGCUGUGGAGCAGGGGGAAGAGCGAAGGGAGGAGGAGCCGAGGACAGGGAGGCUUAGUCUGGGAAGGCCUCUCGGAAGAGGGGAGCCUUCAGUAAGGCUGUGAAGGGGAGGGGGGAAGAGGGACCGUUUGGCGGAUUCGAGAAGGGAGGGCGAUCCAGGCCAGGGGUCGGCGGCGGGACAGGCGAGCUGCAGGCCUCCAGCCGCGGCGAGCCCGGGCCGAGGUCGGGGCUGCCGUCCAGCCCUCCGUCCGUCCGUCCCUCCGUCCAUCCCUCCUUCCUUCCGUCCGUCCGUCCGUCCUCCCUCCCUCCCGGUAACGGGGUUGCUUAGCAACAAGGGGCGGAGGCAGAGGCGGGGGAGAGGAGCGGGGACCCGGCGGCUCUCAGCAUCUCCGGCCCGGGGGCUGCUUUGCUGAUUCACAGAGGCCGUCCGGUCCUGCUCGCCGCCCGCGGCCUCGCCCCCCGCCCCCCCCUCCGCCCGGGACCCCCACGUACCAAGGUAGGACAGCGGGCCGGACGGCGAGGAGGGGCCCGAGGCCCACGGCCGGGGCUGCUCUGCACGAGGCUGCCCCGGACGGACUGUGUAGGUGGAGGUCUGUGCGUGGAUGCAUGGGUGCAUGGAUGCUGUUGUUCAAGUCAACAAAAGCCCGUGAAUCUCAUGGGCGGUACACUGCCCCACAUUCCACCCCCUGCCCUUUCUGCAACUGCCAGCCCCAAAGGACCGUCCCAUCUUUUGUGUUUCGGAGGAUGGAAAAGGACGGCGGCAUCUUAGGUAUAUUUUCCCUCGGGGGU